GUAGGGAAUAUUGGGCAAUGGUCGGAAGACUGACCCAGCCAUGCCGCGUGCAGGAAGACGGCCCUCUGGGUUGUAAACUGCUUUUAUCUGGGAAGAAAAAGGCCAUGCGUGGCAAAUUGCCGGUACCAGAUGAAUAAGCACCGGCUAACUCCGUGCCAGCAGCCGCGGUAAUACGGAGGGUGCGAGCGUUGUCCGGAUUUAUUGGGUUUAAAGGGUGCGUAGGCGGCUGAUUAAGUCAGCGGUGAAAGACUUCGGCUUAACAGGGGCAGUGCCGUUGAUACUGGUUGGCUUGAGUGUCGGAGGGGUACAUGGAAUUGAUGGUGUAGCGGUGAAAUGCAUAGAUACCAUCAGGAACACCGAUAGCGAAGGCAUUGUACUGGCCGACAACUGACGCUGAUGCACGAAAGUGUGGGGAUCGAACAGGAUUAGAAACCCUGGUAGUCC
Molecule: ribosomal RNA, 444 nt
Filed under: uncultured bacterium
Lineage: Bacteria
Description: partial 16S ribosomal RNA
Rfam family: Bacterial small subunit ribosomal RNA
Source: RNAcentral